This 591-nucleotide ribosomal RNA is filed under the name Podofomes mollis. RNAcentral describes it as "Cerioporus mollis partial 28S ribosomal RNA". It matches the Rfam family "Eukaryotic large subunit ribosomal RNA", at positions 73 to 648 of the family's 3401-position model. Lineage: Eukaryota; Fungi; Basidiomycota; Agaricomycetes; Polyporales; Polyporaceae. The record is from RNAcentral.
GAUUCCCCUAGUAACUGCGAGUGAAGCGGGAAAAGCUCAAAUUUAAAAUCUGGCGGUCUUUGGCUGUCCGAGUUGUAGUCUGGAGAAGUGUUUUCCGCGCUGGACCGUGUAUAAGUCUCUUGGAAUAGAGCGUCAUAGAGGGUGAGAAUCCCGUCUUUGACACGGACUACCAGUGCUUUGUGAUGCGCUCUCAAAGAGUCGAGUUGUUUGGGAAUGCAGCUCAAAAUGGGUGGUAAAUUCCAUCUAAAGCUAAAUAUUGGCGAGAGACCGAUAGCGAACAAGUACCGUGAGGGAAAGAUGAAAAGCACUUUGGAAAGAGAGUUAAACAGUACGUGAAAUUGCUGAAAGGGAAACGAUUGAAGUCAGUCGCGUUGUUUGGAACUCAGCCUUGCUUUUGCUUGGUGCACUUUCUGAAUGACGGGCCAGCAUCAAUUUCAGCCGUUGGAAAAAGGCUGGGGGAAUGUGGCACCUUCGGGUGUGUUAUAGCCUCUGGUCACAUACAACGGUUGGGAUUGAGGACCGCAGCGCGCCGUAAGGCAGGGGGUUUCCCACUUUCGCGCUUAGGAUGCUGGCAUAAUGGCUUUAAACGAC